This is a non-coding RNA of Loxodonta africana (African savanna elephant), 599 nucleotides long. The record is from the annotation of a RefSeq genome assembly. NCBI's taxonomy places the organism in Eukaryota, Metazoa, Chordata, Mammalia, Proboscidea, Elephantidae.
ACCCUCUACAGGGAGUGAGACAUGCAAAUAGGACCCUACCCUCUUCUUAUAAAAACCUUCACUGAACCUGUUCCUGCAGCUCUAGGAGAGGAGCCCAAGUCACAGUUGCUGUGCUGUUCCCAAGAAUCUGUGAGAGCAGUCACCACAUCAUGAAGUUUAAACUGAUCUGGGCAUUCCUUCUCAUCCUUUUGCAAGAUGUCCAUUGUGAGGUGCAGCUGGUGGAGUCUGGAGGAGACCUGAGAAAACCUGGGGGUUCUCUGAAGCUCUCCUGUGUAGCCUCUGGUUUUACCUUCAGCAAUUACGGCAUGAACUGGAUCCGUCAGUAUCCUGGGAAGGGGCUGGAAUGGGUGGCACUUAUAUGGCAUGAUGGAAGUAAAAAAUACUACGCAGGCUCCGUGAAGGGCCGGUUCACCAUCUCCAGAGAUAAUUCCAAGAACACACUGUAUUUGCAAAUGGACAGCCUGAGAUCAGAGGACACAGCCAUGUAUUACUGUGCAGUGGCACAGUGAAGGGAAGUCAUUGGGAGCCCUGACAAAAAUCUCCCUCCAGCAGACAGGAGAGAUCUGGGCUCUAGGGGGUGUUCAGUGCCCACCGAGUAG